GUGGCAGGAAGAAUGGCAAGGUUCUGAAAAAAAUGUUGAUCCAGAAAUAUUGCUGUAGCCACACCAGCUGAAUCUGUCACCGGGCCUUAGGGUACUCAUGGAACAAUCCUGUGCUCGCUCUGUUUCUGCUUCUCUCCUUCCCUUUCCUAUAUACCCUUUGUAGCUGUUGCAGUUUCUAGAAUAAAAAGAGAAGCAGAGGACUUAACAAGAAGCCUGGGCUCUGCUUAAGGGAAUUAUUAAUAAAGUUUCUUAUGGGUUUUCAAAAUUCCAACUCAGUAUAGAUUAAUCUUCCUGGAGCACGGGAAGGAAAAAUGUAUUUAGAGGGGUGGUUUGGGAUAAAUCAGCAAGGACUGGAAAAGGCAUGCUGAGAAUUUAGGAUUUUCUGCUGGACUCAGGACUUUGUUCUUUGGCAAUGGAGAAAUCGGCUGCGUGGUUUUGAUCAGAGGACAAUGUGGAACAGCAAUAAAUGGAUCAAUAGACAAAUGUUAUGGCUACAUCAGAAGAUGAAAGAAUGAAUGUACAUUUAUAUGUUCAUAAGAUUCAUCUCUAGAUGAAUUAACCUCUAGAUGAACAUAGAAUUAUCACAAAAAUAACCCCACCUCCCAGAAUUUACCAUUCAAAAAAUGCACAAUGGAAUUCUCAAGGCAGAAGAUACUACUUUGAUCAAUGAAGAGACUCUGUAUUCGCUUCAAGAAAUCUUUCAAGUAACAGGGAAAAUAAUCUCAAUUCAAACUUUCUGAAUUCAUUUUAAGAAUGCUUAUCUAGUGUAAUUCCACAGAGAAAAAUCCUCCACAAGGGAUAGUUGCAAUCUAUAUUUUAUUUUAAAUAUUUUUUAUGAAUUUAUAAACAUUUGCCAUUAAUUAACUAUUCUUUGUAAUUUCCUUGCCUUUUGCUGUUACGAUAAACAUUCGUAUUUUUGUAGUAUGAAUAGGACCAGAACUCUAAUUUGUAACACUGUAUCUAUAGGACUUUGUCUAAAAACGUGUCUCAUAAUGACUUGACUUUUUAACAAUCAUACAAGAAGCAGUUAUGCUGUCAGAAGUGCCCUGUACCCAAAGAUAGAAAUGAAAAAGAGAACAGAGGAUAUUAAAAGAACUCUAAGAAAAUGCUCUGCACAUCUCUAUAAUAAUAAAAUCAGAAAGAAAUGAACAGUAGUCUAAGAAAAUAUAAAUUACCAAAAUUGGCCCUU
Non-coding RNA from Vicugna pacos (alpaca), 1189 nucleotides. The record is from RefSeq and is a predicted model, not a curated record. NCBI's taxonomy places the organism in Eukaryota, Metazoa, Chordata, Mammalia, Artiodactyla, Camelidae.